This 503-nucleotide ribosomal RNA is filed under the name uncultured bacterium. Its description in RNAcentral is "partial 16S ribosomal RNA". It matches the Rfam family "Bacterial small subunit ribosomal RNA", at positions 899 to 1397 of the family's 1533-position model. The record is from RNAcentral.
ACUCAAAGGAAUAGACGGGGACCCGCACAAGCGGUGGAGCAUGUGGUUUAAUUCGAGGCAACGCGAAGAACCUUACCAGCCCUUGACAUGGACAGUGUGGUCGGCAGAGAUGCCUUCCUUCAGCUUGGCUGGCUGUCACACAGGUGCUGCAUGGCUGUCGUCAGCUCGUGUCGUGAGAUGUUGGGUUAAGUCCCGCAACGAGCGCAACCCUCACCCCCUGUUGCCAGCAGGUUAAGCUGGGCACUCUGGGGGAACUGCCGGUGAUAAGCCGGAGGAAGGCGGGGAUGACGUCAAGUCUUCAUGGCCCUUAUGGGCUGGGCUACACACGUGCUACAAUGGCAGUGACAAUAGGCUGCGACUGCGCGAGCAGGAGCUAAUCCUAGAAAAGCUGCCUCAGUUCGGAUUGCACUCUGCAACUCGAGUGCAUGAAGCUGGAAUCGCUAGUAAUCGCGGAUCAGCACGCCGCGGUGAAUACGUUCCCGGGUCUUGCACACACCGCCCGU